RNAcentral lists this ribosomal RNA (361 nucleotides) under Ixodes ricinus (castor bean tick). RNAcentral describes it as "partial large subunit ribosomal RNA". The stretch from base 238 to 361 matches the Rfam family "Bacterial large subunit ribosomal RNA", at positions 2473 to 2597 of the family's 2925-position model. The record is from RNAcentral. Lineage: Eukaryota; Metazoa; Arthropoda; Arachnida; Ixodida; Ixodidae.
AAGAGAAUGAUUAAACAAUUAAAAGCUUUCUUUAAUUGAAUAAUUGAAUUUAAUUUUUUAGUGCAAAAGCAAAAAUAAAAAUUAGGGACAAGAAGACCCUAUGAAUUUUUUAUUAAAUUUUAUAAAACUUUAUAUAAAAUUUAAUUUAAUUGGGGUGAUGGAAAAAGAAUAAAUAUCUUUUUUUUAAAAAAAAAAUUGGUUCCGUUUUUAGCGAUUAAAUGAAAAAAAUACUCUAGGGAUAACAGCGUAAUAAUUUUGGAUAGUUCAUAUAGAUAAAAUAGUUUGCGACCUCGAUGUUGGAUUAGGAUUCUUUUUUGGUGAAGAAGUUAAAAAAAGAAGUUUGUUCAACUUAUAAUUUCCU